Molecule: long non-coding RNA, 532 nt
Filed under: Zonotrichia albicollis (white-throated sparrow)
Lineage: Eukaryota; Metazoa; Chordata; Aves; Passeriformes; Passerellidae
Description: lncRNA (ENSZALG00000009336.1)
Source: RNAcentral
CUUUUUAAAUUUUUUUUUCCUUUAAAAGUUUUAAUCCACCUUGUAACACCACCCAAAAAGAAGCGAAAUUAAGCUGCAGUGUGUACUAGGAGAGAAAACCUACUUUAUUUAUCACCCAGCCCUACUUCACCAUGCACUGACCUAAUUACAGCCCACACCAGGCUGGGUAGGAGGAGCAGCAGAAGGAGCGCUUCUGCCACCUAGUGAUCCCUGUCAAUCCCUUUGUGGAAUUGGCGUUUUCCUGUCCCCAGCGCUCGACAGCAAGCGACCUUCCCCAGCCAGCCUGCCUGGAUGCCGGGUUUAUCUGCACACCGCUCUCUUCUCCUCUUUUACGGCUCCAAAACAUCGCUCACGGAUGAAUUCUGACCUACGGCUGGCAACGCUCAGGAAGGCAGGCCUGGAAAUUUUUCUGGGAGGUACCUGGGUCCCUGUCCAAGAGCUGAUCACCUGGCUCAUGAACCUGGCUGAUGUUAUCACAAACAGGAGAAAGAGAAUAAGCAUCAUUUCAGCAGUAGAAGCAUACAGACAAGCA